CCUGUCCUUAGGGGAAUUGCAAGUGUAGCUGCUGUGUCACAAAUGUAUCAGUAGGUGAAAGAGAGGAGAAGGGCUAUUCAACACUCUGACUUAUGAACCUGUGAACAUCUGAAUGAUUAGUAGCCUAACACU
Meriones unguiculatus (Mongolian gerbil) is the source of this 132-nucleotide small nucleolar RNA. The record is from Ensembl. Lineage: Eukaryota; Metazoa; Chordata; Mammalia; Rodentia; Muridae.